UGUGUGGCUCAGUGGUGGAGCGCUUGCUUGGCAUGCAUGAGGCCUUGAGUUCAAUCCCCAAUACUAA
This 67-nucleotide transfer RNA is filed under the name Marmota monax (woodchuck). RNAcentral describes it as "tRNA.Ala". It matches the Rfam family "tRNA", at positions 5 to 66 of the family's 71-position model. Rfam says of the family: Transfer RNA (tRNA) molecules are approximately 80 nucleotides in length. Their secondary structure includes four short double-helical elements and three loops (D, anti-codon, and T loops). Further hydrogen bonds mediate the characteristic L-shaped molecular structure. tRNAs have two regions of fundamental functional importance: the anti-codon, which is responsible for specific mRNA codon recognition, and the 3' end, to which the tRNAs corresponding amino acid is attached (by aminoacyl-tRNA synthetases). tRNAs cope with the degeneracy of the genetic code in two manners: having more than one tRNA (with a specific anti-codon) for a particular amino acid; and 'wobble' base-pairing, i.e. permitting non-standard base-pairing at the 3rd anti-codon position. Lineage: Eukaryota; Metazoa; Chordata; Mammalia; Rodentia; Sciuridae. The record is from RNAcentral.